This 207-nucleotide long non-coding RNA is filed under the name Populus trichocarpa (black cottonwood). RNAcentral's name for it is "long non-coding RNA (PTRI_LNC000918)". The record is from RNAcentral. Lineage: Eukaryota; Viridiplantae; Streptophyta; Magnoliopsida; Malpighiales; Salicaceae.
GCUUGUUUGUGGGAAAAAAUUAGGGGUUGGGUUACAGAGAGGCUGAGGUAGCGAGAGAGGAGAGGAUGGCUUGUUGGGUCCUGUAAGGGUCGAGGGGAAAUGGUGUUGGGCAGGGGGAACUGUGGGAAGAGAGAGAUGGUCGGGGCUCCCUUUGUUUCUCUAGUUUCGGCUGGGGAAAGGAGCGGCUGCUUUGGAUGAGAGUUGAGG